CCGGAGGAAGGUGGGGACGACGUCAGAUCAUCAUGCCCCUUAUGACCUGGGCAACACACGUGCUACAAUGGGAAGUACAACGAGUCGCAAACCGGCGACGGUAAGCUAAUCUCUUAAAACUUCUCUCAGUUCGGACUGGAGUCUGCAACUCGACUCCACGAAGGCGGAAUCGCUAGUAAUCGCGAAUCAGCAUGUCGCGGUGAAUACGUUCCCGGGUCUUGUACACACCGCCCGUCAAAUCAUGGGAGUCGGAAGUACCCAAAGUCGCUUGGCUAACUUUUAGAGGCCGGUGCCUAAGGUAAAAUCGAUGACUGGGAUUAAGUCGUAACAAGGUAGCCGUAGGAGAACCUGCGGCUGGAUCACCUCCUUUCUAAGGA
Molecule: ribosomal RNA, 377 nt
Filed under: Oenococcus oeni
Lineage: Bacteria; Bacillati; Bacillota; Bacilli; Lactobacillales; Lactobacillaceae
Description: bacterial SSU rRNA
Rfam family: Bacterial small subunit ribosomal RNA
Source: RNAcentral